GGUUAAGUUAGAAAGGGCGCACGGUGGAUGCCUUGGCACUAGGAGCCGAUGAAGGACGGGACGAACACC
This 69-nucleotide ribosomal RNA is filed under the name Bacillus subtilis. RNAcentral describes it as "partial 23S ribosomal RNA". Lineage: Bacteria; Bacillati; Bacillota; Bacilli; Caryophanales; Bacillaceae. The record is from RNAcentral.